UACAGAGGGUGCGAGCGUUAAUCGGAAUUACUGGGCGUAAAGCGUGCGUAGACGGUUCUGUAAGUCGGAUGUGAAAUCCCCGGGCUCAACCUGGGAACUGCAUUUGUGACUGUAGAGCUGGAGUACGGCAGAGGGGGAUGGAAUUCCGCGUGUAGCAGUGAAAUGCGUAGAUAUGCGGAGGAACACCGAUGGCGAAGGCAAUCCCCUGGGCCUGUACUGACGCUCAUGCACGAAAGCGUGGGGAGCAAACAGG
This 253-nucleotide ribosomal RNA is filed under the name uncultured bacterium. RNAcentral's name for it is "partial 16S ribosomal RNA". It matches the Rfam family "Bacterial small subunit ribosomal RNA", at positions 524 to 776 of the family's 1533-position model. The record is from RNAcentral.